AGACCGGCGCACGGGUGCGUAACGCGUAUGCAAUCUACCUUUUACAGAGGGAUAGCCCAGAGAAAUUUGGAUUAAUACCUCAUAGUAUGUGAGAAUGGCAUCAUUUUCACAUUAAAGUCACAACGGUAAAAGAUGAGCAUGCGUCCCAUUAGCUAGUUGGUAAGGUAACGGCUUACCAAGGCUACGAUGGGUAGGGGUCCUGAGAGGGAGAUCCCCCACACUGGUACUGAGACACGGACCAGACUCCUACGGGAGGCAGCAGUGAGGAAUAUUGGUCAAUGGACGCAAGUCUGAACCAGCCAUGCCGCGUGCAGGAUGACGGUCCUAUGGAUUGUAAACUGCUUUUGUACAGGAAGAAACAACAUUACGUGUAAUGUCUUGACGGUACUGUAAGAAUAAGGAUCGGCUAACUCCGUGCCAGCAGCCGCGGUAAUACGGAGGAUCCAAGCGUUAUCCGGAAUCAUUGGGUUUAAAGGGUCCGUAGGCGGUUUAGUAAGUCAGUGGUGAAAGCCCAUCGCUCAACGGUGGAACGGCCAUUGAUACUGCUAGACUUGAAUUAUUAGGAAGUAACUAGAAUAUGUAGUGUAGCGGUGAAAUGCUUAGAGAUUACAUGGAAUACCAAUUGCGAAGGCAGGUUACUACUAAUGGAUUGACGCUGAUGGACGAAAGCGUGGGUAGCGAACAGGAUUAGAUACCCUGGUAGUCCACGCCGUAAACGAUGGAUACUAGCU
This 731-nucleotide ribosomal RNA is filed under the name uncultured bacterium. RNAcentral's name for it is "bacterial SSU rRNA". It matches the Rfam family "Bacterial small subunit ribosomal RNA", at positions 92 to 821 of the family's 1533-position model. The record is from RNAcentral.